This 468-nucleotide ribosomal RNA is filed under the name uncultured bacterium. RNAcentral describes it as "bacterial SSU rRNA". It matches the Rfam family "Bacterial small subunit ribosomal RNA", at positions 328 to 793 of the family's 1533-position model. The record is from RNAcentral.
UGGCCAGACUCCUACGGGAGGCAGCAGUGAGGGAUAUUGGUCAAUGGCCGAGAGGCUGAACCAGCCAAGUCGCGUGAGGGAAGAAGGCCCUGCGGGUCGCAGACCUCUUUGGACGGGGAGCAAGGCCGCCGACGUGUCGGCGGAAGGAGAGUACCCGUAGAACAAGCAUCGGCUAACUCCGUGCCAGCAGCCGCGGUAAUACGGAGGAUGCGAGCGUUAUCCGGAUUUAUUGGGUUUAAAGGGUGCGUAGGCGGGCUUUUAAGUCAGCGGUAAAAAUUCGGGGCUCAACCCCGUCCGGCCGUUGAAACUGGGGGCCUUGAGUGGGCGAGAAGAAGGCGGAAUGCGUGGUGUAGCGGUGAAAUGCAUAGAUAUCACGCAGAACCCCGAUUGCGAAGGCAGCAUACCGGCGCCCAACUGACGCUGAAGCACGAAAGCGUGGGUAUCGAACAGGAUUAGAUACCCGGGUAA